AAGGUUUUGGUGUAGCCUGCCACGAUCAAGACCUGGGGCGUCUCAUGGGGUGCCUCUGCAGCUCGAUUGCUGGUGCGUGUCGGGAUAAGCAGUUUGGCUUUGCAGGCGUCGUAGGAUCAUGUUGAACUUGAAGAGAAGCGCUACGAUACUUUCGUUCAGUAGGUGAUCGAUGGAUUCAGGUGGAUUUCUGCGGAUGCGCGAACGCUGGCGAUCACGCAGGUGCCUGCUCACGUUUUCUGUGGAAAAGUGGACGACCCGUGCCUCAGGAGCGUGUUGCUUGAGCGAGAGUCGUCUGGUGUCGUGACGCUGCGGGGGCAGCGAGCCUAUUGCGGGCAUUUGGUUUUGCACCGGAUGCAGCGGUCCGGCUCUGGACUGAGGUCGACGAGUCGGGGCAGAUUUCAUUGGAAUGCGCGACUGGUGUCGGAAACCGUGGACGAGACCUUCGUUGAAUGUUCAUUGUGUGCGUGUUCCACAAGCCGAAGACGCGCUCGCUGAUGUGGCGUCGAAUCCUGGCGUGGAGCGCAUCGUGAAUAUCGCGUGUGUAUCGACUGCACGAGUACCAGAUGAAAAUGCAACGUUUCAGUACCUGCUCUAUUCCUGCUUUUCGAUUUUUCGGAGCGAUUUUUAGAUGCCAGCAUCGAGAUUCGAAGUGCAGCAAUGUGCACUUUUGAUUUCAUCCGUCCUUUUCGGGUGCUCAGUUGUAUGUCUGGGGGUAGCUCGGGCGACGCUUUGCCGCGAGAAUUCGCUACGCUUGCGGAACGGAGAGCAUUCGCGACGGCCUCGAACAACGGCUCGUAGCGUAACCGAUGCUAAUUCAUCAGUGCAUGUGGAGAAGCCUCCAAUCCCCUCGUUUUCCUCCAAUGGAGCGCGCUCCGAUGCUUCGAUCAUCCAGUUGCAAGCAAACUCGUGGGCGCGUCCGGAUUUACGAGCCAAUAACGCCACGUCGUCUCUUGACGAAUGGAUCGCGAGCUCAUCCCGCAUAUCCACUGAGCAGCUGACGUCAAAUAAACGAUUCUGCCCGAAACACAAUUCCUCCUCGCUUUCGGGCCAUCGACGAAUCCGCAUGGACAUCAGCAUGAUCCCGCACACGGGGUAUGCUUCCAGAGGCUCGUGUAUCGUCUGCUUCUGCAGGGAGGCGGCUGGGGCCUCAGGCAUCACGCCGGCUCGCUUUCAGCGGAGCGACCGUCACCGGUUUGCCGCAAAGGAGUGUAGGCGACCUGAGACUUGUCGGCGGCUUUUCCAGCCUGGAUUUUCCUGCAGAUGCUCAUUCCAUCAUGGAUGGCGUUGCGCGCCAUGGAGUCACCACCGAGUGGGAUAGCGCUCGCUUGCAUGCGCCGAGCACGGCUUCUUCUCCGAGGGAUCGCCCAGAUAAAGCCCGUGGUUUAAGGUUACGGCAUCGGAAGCGGAAGCAAAGGAGGAUAUUGAGGCGAGCCUUCCGGAUCCGCCAAGGGCGUGGAUGGAGCGAUGAAGCAAAUCUCGACGCGACACAGGGCAGCGCCCAGCGCGUUCGGUUUCGUAGGCUUAUGGAAACACCUGGCGAUGGUCAAUUGUCACGGCUGCGGUGGAUGCACCCCUCAGGGACGUACAAAGAAGAUGAAAAAAGUGCAGCGAAGCGUCGAUCGCGCCGACCGUCUGUCUAUGGAUUUCUUCGACAGCUGCAGAAUGCUGCGACCUAGGGAUCUUGACGCUGCAAUCAACAUCCUUCGACUACAGCCAAGGGAGCUGGAGAGAAGACAGAGACCAGUACCUUAAAAUCCGAACAAAAGCGACA
RNA transcript from Cyanidioschyzon merolae strain 10D, 1771 nucleotides. RefSeq lists it as hypothetical. The transcript has a single exon. The record is from RefSeq and is a predicted model, not a curated record. Lineage: Eukaryota; Rhodophyta; Bangiophyceae; Cyanidiales; Cyanidiaceae.